GUACUCUGGUUUCCCUUCAAAUCACGCAUAAAUCUUUCGCCUUUUACUAAAGAUUUCCGUGGAGGGGAACAGUUGAUGAGUCUAUAGACCAAUUUUUUGUGUACCCAACGAAAGUUGGGUC
Molecule: small nuclear RNA, 121 nt
Organism: Atta colombica
Lineage: Eukaryota; Metazoa; Arthropoda; Insecta; Hymenoptera; Formicidae
Rfam family: U5 spliceosomal RNA
About the family: U5 RNA is a component of both types of known spliceosome. The precise function of this molecule is unknown, though it is known that the 5' loop is required for splice site selection and p220 binding, and that both the 3' stem-loop and the Sm site are important for Sm protein binding and cap methylation.
Source: Rfam